GAGCUCUUUCUCUGAUUGGGUGUUUCUGCGAAGGAGAUGAGAGGUUACUCGUGGCUGAGUUUAUGCCCCAUGAAACUCUCGCUAAGCAUCUUUUUCACUUCGAUCAGAGGACAAAACUAAUUUAAUUGAGGAAGUAUCUUGGUUUGAUUAUGGACACAGAGGGAUGCAGGUUUGGUAUCCUUCUUUGGGUGCUGACCCUUUUAAGCAGGAGGAUUUCUUACAGGUACGUAUUCUUUGGUGCUAGAAGCCACAGGUUUUGCAUAUAAUAAAAGCUUAUCUUCUUUGUUAGCAUUUUUUUUUCCUUAUUUUUCAAUUUCCCCCUUCCCUUAGUGUGCAAUUUUAGUUCCUUUCCAGGUGAGGUCACUAUCUACUAAAUUGCUGGCUUCUGUAUUCAUUCAAGUAUUAUUUUAUUUUAUUUUUAAUGGAAAAUCAUUUUUCUUUUAAAAAAGAAACAUAAUAAGGUUUUGUAAGUUAUGAAAUUAUUUUUAUUGCCUUUUAAGGCAUCUUCUUCAGGUACUAUUUUCUCUUUCCUUUAUAUGAAAGUGAAGGUCCAAUGUUUCUUUUACUGUCCAAUUAUGGAAUUCUCUUGUACUAUAUAUAAUAUUGUCUACCUUCUAUUGAAAUUUGAAAAGAAGAUGUCAGCUCGUGCGCUUAAUUACUAGCCCACAAGGUUGGAAUAUGACUUGAAGCCCUUUGUUAGAUUAGGUUCAAGCAUAUGUGUUUAGUUUGGGGCGUUAUUGCAUAAGUGUCUAUGAAUUGCCUCUGGUUACCAAAAUUAUAUUCUGUUGGCUUUGCAGCUUUUUAAUUUUGUUUGUUGUUAUUCCUGAUCUUUCUUGAAGAUAUUGUACUUAAUUCUGAUUUUGUAUUCAGAGGGACAAACGCAAAGAAGCUUUGAGGCUGGUUCCGUUAUCAGCAGAGAAGCCUCAUUUUUCUCACUGUUUGGAGUGGCUUCUCUUUAGGGUGUUUGAUGCAGAAAUAUCCAGGUACAUUCAAUGAGAAUAAAAUUACCUCAAAAGUACAAUGGUUCUGUUUUUGGCCAUUAUCUAAAUGGAGUAAUGUUUAUAGUAGUUUUGUUAAGCAAAACAUUACUGGGUCUUUUUGCUAACGUGGUUACCCUAGUUCUCUAUCUUUGUCAGUGCUGCUAUGUAAUGUUUCAUAGUUGAAGUCUAGAACCUCUUCUAUUUGUUAGGCCUCUUUUAACCCUAGUUAAGGUAUGAAGUGAUCCAAGGAGCAGGUUUUAAGGUAUUGUCAGAUGCGCAGGUGAUAUUUCUGCAGUUAGUAAAAAUAGUUAAAAUGUAUGAGAAUCAAUUAAUAUUUGAUGAAAAUUAAUUUGGCUGCAAAACAUGUCUAGUUUGUUAGCUAGGUAUUUUUGUGGAAUGAAAUCUGGAAUUUACUUCCUGGUGCCCUUUGUUAAUUAUUUACUUGUCAAGACUGUUCAUGCUACCUAUGUGUGAUCACACUAGAAUUUCAUGUAUUUGUUCAUGUGUAAUUUACGUGCAGGCAAAGUGUGAACAAGAAUCAGAUAACCGUUCCUAAUUCCAAAACUUUCUCUCUUCUAGAUAAGACAUGUGAAUUAAUCAGAAAUUUUCUGAAGUAU
Molecule: long non-coding RNA, 1597 nt
Organism: Humulus lupulus (European hop)
Lineage: Eukaryota; Viridiplantae; Streptophyta; Magnoliopsida; Rosales; Cannabaceae
Exons: 3
Source: RefSeq, a predicted model, not a curated record